This 400-nucleotide ribosomal RNA is filed under the name uncultured bacterium. RNAcentral's name for it is "bacterial SSU rRNA". It matches the Rfam family "Bacterial small subunit ribosomal RNA", at positions 132 to 518 of the family's 1533-position model. The record is from RNAcentral.
UCGAGAUGGGGAUAGCCAUUAGGAAAUAGUGGACUAAUACCGAAUAAGCUCAUGACCCUGUGGGGAUAUGAGGAAAACAGGCUACGGCCUGGCUCGAGGAUGGGCCCGCGUCCCAUUAGCUAGUUGGUGAGGUAACGGCCCACCAAGGCGACGAUGGGUAUCCGGCCUGAGAGGGUGUACGGACACAUUGGGACUGAGAUACGGCCCAAACUCCUACGGGAGGCAGCAGCUAAGAAUAUUCCGCAAUGGACGAAGUCUGACGGAGCGACGCCGCGUGGAUGAAGAAGGCCCGGAAGGUUGUAAAAUCCUUUUGCUGAUGAAGAAUAAGUGUGGUAGGGAAUGACCGCAUGAUGACAUUAGUCGGUGAAUAAGCCCCGGCUAACUACGUGCCAGCCGCUGC